CCUACGGGUGGCUGCAGUGGGGAAUAUUGGUCAAUGGGCGCGAGCCUGACCCAGCAACGCCGCGUGAAGGAAGAAGGCUUUCGGGUUUUAAACUUUUUUUUUCAGGGGCAUAGCAAGUGCCACUACCUGACGAAUAAGCCACGCCUAACUAGGGGCCAGCAGCCGCGGUAAUACGGCGGUGGCAAUCGUUCUCCGGAUGUGCUGGGUGUAAGGGUUUAGUAGGCGGGUAGGUAAGUCAGAUGUGAAAUCCACUGGCUCAACCUGGUGCUUGAAUGUGCAACUGAUAUUCUUGAGUGCUGGAGAGGGAAUGGGAAUGCCGGGUGUAGCGGUGAAAUGCGUAGAUAUACGGAGGAACACCAGUGGCGAAGGCGGAUUGCUGGACAGUAACUGACGCUGAGGCGCGAAAGCGUGGGGAGCAAACAGGAUUAGAUACCCGAGUAGUC
This 443-nucleotide ribosomal RNA is filed under the name uncultured bacterium. RNAcentral's name for it is "partial 16S ribosomal RNA". It matches the Rfam family "Bacterial small subunit ribosomal RNA", at positions 338 to 795 of the family's 1533-position model. The record is from RNAcentral.